Molecule: transfer RNA, 68 nt
Filed under: Marmota monax (woodchuck)
Lineage: Eukaryota; Metazoa; Chordata; Mammalia; Rodentia; Sciuridae
Description: tRNA.Ala
Source: RNAcentral
GGAAUGUAGCUUAGUGGCAGAGCACUUGCCUAGCAUGUGUGAGGUCCUGGGAUCAAUUUUCAGUACCA